GGGCAGUUGAUUGGAAUCUGAAAAAUACUACAAGCCAGAAUCCUUCACAAAAUCAUGCUUCAAAAGCUUAUCAGCAGUUGGACGCUCAUUUGGAUUACGUUUCAGGCACUGCUUGAUAAAAUCUAGUGCCAGAGGAUAAUCAUGAAGACUAUAAUUAGGAAGAUGAUCUACAAUGGACCCUCUUUGAACCUCCAAUUCUAGAUUUGCAUUCAAAUUUUUCAAAUGAGAGUACGGAAAAUCCCUAAUUAACAUCUCCACGACGGUGCAGCCAAGGCUCCAAAUAUCAGCUUCAAAUCCAUACUCUUUGUCCUGUUUCAUAACCUCCGGAGCUAUCCAGUCUAUUUUCCCAUAUCGAGAUUUCAAAAGAGCAAUUACUCCAGUCACUUUUGUCAAUCCAAAAUCUGUAAUUUUCACGUAUCCUUUCUCAUCCACCAGUAUAUUUGCACAUUUGAUGUCUCUAUGGACUACCUUUCGCUCAUGGAGAUACUU
RNAcentral lists this unclassified non-coding RNA (489 nucleotides) under Hevea brasiliensis (rubber tree). The record is from RNAcentral. Lineage: Eukaryota; Viridiplantae; Streptophyta; Magnoliopsida; Malpighiales; Euphorbiaceae.